Ribosomal RNA from Enterocytozoon bieneusi H348, 852 nucleotides. It matches the Rfam family "Microsporidia small subunit ribosomal RNA", at positions 479 to 1311 of the family's 1311-position model. The record is from Rfam. Lineage: Eukaryota; Fungi; Microsporidia; Enterocytozoonidae.
GGGGAGGUUUUUUUUUUAAUAUGUGGUUGGAGAAAUAAAAAUAUUAUUUUCCUCCACCCCCCCCUUUUUUUUAUAUAAUGGGGGGGGGAGGGGGGAACCCCCUUUUUUGGAGGGGUUUUUUUUUAUAAUACAUCAAAACAAAAACCGGGGUAUUUUUUCAAAAAAGGUUUUUUACCCCCCCCGUGUGAGUUUUUCCCCCUAAAAAAAAUAUCCCCCCACCACCCCUUUUUGGAGGAAAAUAAGGGGGGGGGGGGGAAAAAUUUUUAUUUUUCGGGGUUUUUGGGGGAUUAUUUCCCCCUCCCCAGGGGGGGAAAUUUAUAAGGGAAAAUUGGCGGGGGGGGCCCUUCCCCCAGGGGGGGGUUGUGGGGGUUUAAUUUAAAUCAAACGGGGGAAAAAUUUACCAGGGGCCAGUUCUUUUGUUGAUGAAUACCUGAGAAAUGGCCGGAGUGGUGCAUGGCCCUUGGAAAAUUGAUGGGGCGACCUUUAGCUUAAAUGCUUAAACCAGUGAGACUUCCCUGACAGGUGUUCUGUACCACAGGAGGGUUGGAGGCUAUAACAGGUCCGUGAUGCCCUUAGAUAUCCUGGGCAGCAAGCGCAAUACAAUAUCUCUUCAGUAGACAAAGUGAUUUGAGAUGAGUAGGAUCUACGUUUGUAAAUACGUAGUGAAUAAGGAAUUCCUAGUAACGGUGCCUCAUCAAGGCAUGGUGAAUGUGUCCCUGUUCUUUGUACACACCGCCCGUCACUAUUUCAGAUGGUCAUAGGGAUGAAGAGCUUCGGCUCUGAAUAUCUAUGGCUAGAUAAAGUACAAGUCGUAACAAGGUUUCAGUUGGAGAACCAGCUGAAGGAUCAUUU